Molecule: ribosomal RNA, 497 nt
Filed under: uncultured bacterium
Lineage: Bacteria
Description: partial 16S ribosomal RNA
Rfam family: Bacterial small subunit ribosomal RNA
Source: RNAcentral
GAUGAACGCUGGCGGCGUGCCUAAUACAUGCAAGUCGAGCGAACCGACGAGGAGCUUGCUCCUCUGACGUUAGCGGCGGACGGGUGAGUCACACGUGGAUAACCUACCUAUCAGACUGGGAUAACUUCGGGAGACCGGAGCUAAUACCGGAUAAUAUAUUGCACCGCAUGGUUCCAUAGUGGAAGUCGGUUUUGCUGUCACUUAUAGCUGGAUCCGCGCCGCAUUAGCUAGUUGGUAAGGUAGCGGCUUACCAAGGCGACGAUGCGUAGCCGACCUGAGAGGGUGGUCGGCCAGACUGGAAGUGAGGAAGGGUCCCGACUCCGACGGGAGGCAGCGGCAGGGAAUCCUCCGCAAAGGGCGAAUGGCGGACGGAGCAACGCCGCGUGAGGGAUGAAGGACUUCGGAUCGGAGAGCGCUGUAAGCAGGAGAGAACAAAUGCGUAAGUACCUAGGCACAUCUUGACGGUACCUAAACAGUAAGCCACGGCUAACUACGUG